This 1405-nucleotide ribosomal RNA is filed under the name uncultured bacterium. RNAcentral's name for it is "bacterial SSU rRNA". It matches the Rfam family "Bacterial small subunit ribosomal RNA". The record is from RNAcentral.
GAGUUUGAUCAUGGCUCAGGACGAACGCUGGCGGCGUGCCUAAUACAUGCAAGUAGAACGCUGAAGAGAGGAGCCUGCUCUUCUUGGGUGAGUUGCGAACGGGUGAGUAACGCGUAGGUAACCUGCCUUGUAGCGGGGGAUAACUAUUGGAAACGAUAGCUAAUACCGCAUAACAAUAGGUGACACAUGUCAUUUAUUUGAAAGGGGCAAUUGCUCCACUACAAGAUGGACCUGCGUUGUAUUAGCUAGUAGGUGAGGUAACGGCUCACCUAGGCGACGAUACAUAGCCGACCUGAGAGGGUGAUCGGCCACACUGGGACUGAGACACGGCCCAGACUCCUACGGGAGGCAGCAGUAGGGAAUCUUCGGCAAUGGGGGCAACCCUGACCGAGCAACGCCGCGUGAGUGAAGAAGGUUUUCGGAUCGUAAAGCUCUGUUGUAAGUCAAGAACGAGUGUGAGAGUGGAAAGUUCACACUGUGACGGUAGCUUACCAGAAAGGGACGGCUAACUACGUGCCAGCAGCCGCGGUAAUACGUAGGUCCCGAGCGUUGUCCGGAUUUAUUGGGCGUAAAGCGAGCGCAGGCGGUUUGAUAAGUCUGAAGUUAAAGGCUGUGGCUCAACCAUAGUUCGCUUUGGAAACUGUCAAACUUGAGUGCAGAAGGGGAGAGUGGAAUUCCAUGUGUAGCGGUGAAAUGCGUAGAUAUAUGGAGGAACACCGGUGGCGAAAGCGGCUCUCUGGUCUGUAACUGACGCUGAGGCUCGAAAGCGUGGGGAGCGAACAGGAUUAGAUACCCUGGUAGUCCACGCCGUAAACGAUGAGUGCUAGGUGUUGGAUCCUUUCCGGGAUUCAGUGCCGCAGCUAACGCAUUAAGCACUCCGCCUGGGGAGUACGACCGCAAGGUUGAAACUCAAAGGAAUUGACGGGGGCCCGCACAAGCGGUGGAGCAUGUGGUCUAAUUCGAAGCAACGCGAAGAACCUUACCAGGUCUUGACAUCCCGAUGCUAUUUCUAGAGAUAGAAAGUUACUUCGGUACAUCGGUGACAGGUGGUGCAUGGUUGUCGUCAGCUCGUGUCGUGAGAUGUUGGGUUAAGUCCCGCAACGAGCGCAACCCCUAUUGUUAGUUGCCAUCAUUCAGUUGGGCACUCUAGCGAGACUGCCGGUAAUAAACCGGAGGAAGGUGGGGAUGACGUCAAAUCAUCAUGCCCCUUAUGACCUGGGCUACACACGUGCUACAAUGGUUGGUACAACGAGUUGCGAGUCGGUGACGGCAAGCUAAUCUCUUAAAGCCAAUCUCAGUUCGGAUUGUAGGCUGCAACUCGCCUACAUGAAGUCGGAAUCGCUAGUAAUCGCGGAUCAGCACGCCGCGGUGAAUACGUUCCCGGGCCUUGCACACACCGCCCGUC